GCUGAUUGGCGGGAUCCCUC
Molecule: small nuclear RNA, 20 nt
Filed under: Arabidopsis thaliana (thale cress)
Lineage: Eukaryota; Viridiplantae; Streptophyta; Magnoliopsida; Brassicales; Brassicaceae
Description: snRNA_18850
Source: RNAcentral